ACUGGUUCUUUCUCUUUCUUAGGGAUAUAAAUGCUAGGAAACUUUCCACUCAAUGAAUCAAUUAAAUCCCUAGCUUCACUAGCAGGUAGGUGAUAAAAGGAUCCUCUAGAGGCUGUAUUUAUGGUUUGCUUAUUUUCCCUACUAAGGCCCUCAAAAAAGUGAAUUAGAAGAACUUCUUCUGGAAUAGAAAGCUUUGGGCCAGUGAGAGUAAGGUUAAUAAAGCGGUCCCAUGAUUUGCCAAUAUAUUCUUCUUCAAGUUGUCUAAAAGAAAUAAUCUCACGCCGAAGUUCUGCCACUUUGG
Molecule: long non-coding RNA, 301 nt
Filed under: Sorghum bicolor (sorghum)
Lineage: Eukaryota; Viridiplantae; Streptophyta; Magnoliopsida; Poales; Poaceae
Description: long non-coding RNA (SBIC_LNC001087)
Source: RNAcentral